UGCAUGUCUAAGUAUAAGCAAUUAUACGGCGAAACUGCGAAUGGCUCAUUAUAUAAGUUAUCGUUUAUUUGAUAGUACCUUACUACUUGGAUAACCGUGGUAAUUCUAGAGCUAAUACAUGCUUAAAAUCCCGACUUCGGAAGGGAUGUAUUUAUUAGAUUAAAAACCAAUGCCCUUCGGGGCUCUCUGGUGAUUCAUGAUAACUUCUCGAAUCGCAUGGCCUUGCGCCGGCGAUGGUUCAUUCAAAUUUCUUCCCUAUCAACUUUCGAUGUUUGGGUAUUGGCCAAACAUGGUUGCAACGGGUAACGGAGGGUUAGGGCUCGACCCCGGAGAAGGAGCCUGAGAAACGGCUACUACAUCCAAGGAAGGCAGCAGGCGCGCAAAUUACCCAAUCCCGACUCGGGGAGGUAGUGACAAUAAAUACUGAUACAGGGUUCUUUUGGAUCUUGUAAUUGGAAUGAGUACAAUUUAAAUCCCUUAACGAGGAACAAUUGGAGGGCAAGUCUGGUGCCAGCAGCCGCGGUAAUUCCAGCUCCAAUAGCGUAUAUUAAAGUUGUUGUGGUUAAAAAGCUCGUAGUUGAACCUUGGGCCUGGCUGGCCGGUCCGCCUCACCGCGUGUACUGGUCCGGCCGGGCCUUUCCCUCUGUGGAACCCUAUGCCCUUCACUGGGUGUAGCGGGGAAACAGGACUUUUACUUUGAAAAAAUUAGAGUGCUCCAGGCAGGCCUUUGCUCGAAUACAUUAGCAUGGAAUAAUAAAAUAGGACGUGUGGUUCUAUUUUGUUGGUUUCUAGGACCGCCGUAAUGAUUAAUAGGGACAGUCGGGGGCAUCAGUAUUCAAUUGUCAGAGGUGAAAUUCUUGGAUUUAUUGAAGACUAACUACUGCGAAAGCAUUUGCCAAGGAUGUUUUCAUUAAUCAGGAACGAAAGUUAGGGGAUCGAAGACGAUCAGAUACCGUCGUAGUCUUAACCAUAAACUAUGCCGACUAGGGAUCGGACGAUGUUAAAAAUUGACUCGUUCGGCACCUUACGAGAAAUCAAAGUGCUUGGGCUCCAGGGGGAGUAUGGUCGCAAGGCUGAAACUUAAAGAAAUGACGGAA
Molecule: ribosomal RNA, 1097 nt
Filed under: Clonostachys aureofulvella
Lineage: Eukaryota; Fungi; Ascomycota; Sordariomycetes; Hypocreales; Bionectriaceae
Description: SSU rRNA
Rfam family: Eukaryotic small subunit ribosomal RNA
Source: RNAcentral